AGUCCAGGGCCUGGUAGAAGACCUGUGGGGCCAAGGCGUGCUCCUGCUGCAGGAUUUGACACUGCUCCAGGGUCAGGGACAUGGCAGUGCGGUCUUUGGCGCUCUUGCAGCUGGCGCUAAAUGGCGGACAUAUUGCUAGCAGAGACAAACCAACCAACCCCAAAACGCACCUCGGCCGCCUGCCACAGAAUCUCCACGUUCUUGCUCUUCUUGGCGUUGAUGUUCUGGUUGAGCAGUCUGAGCAGGUCGGGCAUACCGGUGCUACUGCGAGAGCGAUGCAGGCCUGAGAAGACCACGACAGGGGAGGUUGUGUGUGGACUGACGGUCUGGCAGAAGACGACGUCGCGGCGGUACUGCAGCGUGAGGCUCAUGGCGAUGGUGGGGGCGCUGUCCUGCAUGAGGAGGAACACCAUGGCCUUCCUGGCCUUGUCGCCCAGCAGCGAGGCGCAGUCGCUCAGCGUGGCCAGCAGAGGGUGCAUAGCCUCGCUCCACUCACCUGCAGGUCACUGAUGGUCUCCUGGUAGGUGAGGAUGAUGGUCUGGUACUGUGUGAUGAUCUGCCUCCGGAGGUUCUCCCAGCAUGGCGACAGCUCGCCAAGUUCUUCCAGCUCGCACACCCUAACGCAGCAGCUUGACAAACUGUCGAGGGAUGUGCAGCGAGAGAACACUCUCCGCCAUCUGCUCCAGGACCCGAAGAUGGUUGCCGUCCGUGGUGGGGAAACGAAUCAAAGUGGAAGUGACUUCAACCGGACCCCGAGUCUCCUUGUGAUACUUGUGCGCCUCGAUCUCAGCUGUCACGCAUGAGUCACUAAAAGGAGGAAAACAGGUAUUAGUCCGAUAUCGCCAUGGGAACAGAUGACACAGCCAAGAAGGCAGAUGAUGCUGACGUCAUCCCCUCUCACAUCUGGCUGCAUUUACACUGGUACAAUUAGCGUCUCUGUCAACGCGCUAAUGCAGACAGUGAGAAACGUCUAAAUAUACACCUGCUAGCUGCUAGCUUCUCCUGCUUUCACACACACUUUUAAUUAGUCUUGUACAGGAAGUAUUGCAAUAGCUUUUUACUGGGAUGGAACCCUAGAAAGUACUACUAGCAUUUCUUGGGCAAAAUUAUUUAAACAAACCAUAAUUUUGUAAUUAAGAAAAGUGUCCAAAUACUUACCAAAAAUGUUUACACUUAUUGUGCAUUAUAAUGAUUGUACAAUCCAAUCCAAUCCACUUCAUUUAUAUAGCACAUUUACACAACAAGAACGUUUCCAAAGUGCUGCACAGCCAUGUUAAAAACAAUAUUAAAAACGAUAUUAAAAACAAUAUUAAAAACAAUAUUAUGCUACACCAAUGACUGAAUAAAAACAAAGAAUAAAUGAAUAGAAAACCAAUACAGAGACAAUAUAAAAAAUAAAUAUGAUUAAAAACGAUUUUAAAAGGUAAAACCAAUUAAAACAGUAAAAUAGACAUCAAAAUGUAUAACCCUAACCCUAACCCUAACCACACAGGACAACAGAGGACAGAAGACCACACAACUCACGUAGUGUUAAAAGCCAAAGAAUAAAGGGGGUUUUAAGACGAGACUUAAAACACUCCACUGUGGAAGCAGUUUGAACAUGGAGGGGCAGAGUGUUCCAGAGUUUAGGGCCGACCACAGAGAAGGCCCUGUCUCCCCUGGUUUUAAGUCUCGUCCUGGGCGCCACGAGCUGGAGCUGGCUCUCGGACCUCAGAGCGCAGGAGUGUAAAUUUGGAUGAGGUCUGAGAUAUACUGAGGUGCCAGUCCAUGUAAAGCUUUAAAAAGAAACAGCAAGGAUUUAAAAUCAAUUCUAAAAUGAACAGGGAGCCAGUGCAAACUCCGAAGAAUUGGGGUUAUAUGCUGGCGUUUCCUGGCCCCUGUUAAAAGUCGUGCUGCCGCGUUCUGGACUAACUGCAACCGGGAGAGAGCUUUUUGGCUAAUGCCAGCAUAAAGUGCAUUGCAGAAGUCCAGGCGACUUGAAAUAAAAGCAUGCACGACUUGUUCAAAAAGGUUAAAAUGAUAAAAAUGGUUUUACCUUUGCUAAAAGACGAAGAUGAUAAAAACACGAUUUUAAAACGCCAUUGACUUGUUUGUCAAAUUUAAAAUCGCUGUCUAUAGUGACGCCAAGGCUGGUGACUUUGGGACGCACAUAAUUUUGCAAUGGUCCCAAGUCAGUGAGGGCCGGACCAAAAACUGAAAUUUCCGUUUUUCCCUCAUUCAUUAUUAAAAAAUUCUGGGCUAACCAAGCCUUGACGUCACAUAGACAGUUGAGAAGGGUGUCAGGGGGCCGUGGCCUUUUGAAAUUGGCAUAUACAUUUGGCAGUCAUCUGCAUAAAAGUGAUAAGACACUCCAUGUUUCUUAAAAAUCUCUCCAAGAGGGAGAAUGUACAAGGAAAACAGGAUGGGGCCUAGAAUGGAUCCCUGGGGGACACCACACAUCCUAAAAACAUCAUGGAGGCAUCAGGAAUGUUAAAAGUAGCUUGAUUGUAUUUCAUUAUUGGUAUUAAACUAGUACUAGUCAAUGUUAAAGCAACCCUCAAAGCUAAAGACAAAAACAUGCAUUGGGGGAAAAGAAGAAAUAUAUUUAAAUAAAAUAAAUACAAAUCUAAAAUAUUUAUUGAACAAAAAAGGAAAACAAACGAAUAAAAAAUGUAUAGUAAUAAUAGCUAAUGUAAUGUAAAUUAAAACAAUAUAAUACAAAAACAAAUAAAAUGUUACACAAAUAUACAACUAAAAUCACAAGUAUUAUACAUAAAAUAAGAUAAAAUGUAAUACAUUUUCAAAUAAAAAUAUAUCAGUCACUUAUUUUUAAUUCUAUUAUGAAUAAAACAAACCUAAUACAACAAAAUGCAUACCACCAAGAACCUUUGUUCAGACAAUCAACAUACAAUAUUUCAACAUACAGUAAAUACUACCAGUUCACCUUCUUAAAUCAAGUGUAUUUCUCAACAUGUAAUUAAAAAAAACCCUGAAAAUAAUCAAAAGAUUAAUAAUUAUUACAAAUAAAUACGAGUUACAUUUUGCACUGUAAAAAAAAACAGUGUGACAAUAAUUAAUUAACAUUUGACAUAAGGGCUGCAACGAUUAGUCGACAAAUGUUAUUGUCGACAAUAACAUUUGUCGCCACCAAUUAUAUUUGCAGACGAUAGCCGUGACGUCACCACUCGUGUUUUUCCGGCUGGAAGUGAGUCCGCACCGCCACGCGCAAAAACACCGCCAGUGAUAACAUAUACUGUAAAGUGUGAGAACAUUUCCUCCUAUUCUUGUUCAAAACAUUACUACCUCGCUCAUUUUGCAAAGCGGACAUUGUUUUUUUGGUAGUACAUAUCUGUGAUACGCGAACAUUUAAAAUGGAGACACAAUGUCGAACAUCUGGAGGGAGGAUGUGGUCUCAGCCUCUGAACGAGUGUUAGCAGAUGGUGUAUGUUGUAGCGUCCCGGAAGAAUUAGUGCUGCAAGGGGUUCUGGGUAUUUGUACUGUUGUGUUUAUGUUGUGUUACGGUGCGGAUGUUCUCCCGAAAUGUGUUUGUCAUUCUUGUUUGGUGUGGGUUCACAGUGUGGCGCAUAUUUGUAACAAUGUUAAAGUUGUUUAUACGGCCAUCCUCAGUGUGACCUGUAUGGCUGUUGACCAAGUAUGCUUGCAUUCACUUGUGUGUGUGUGAAAAGCCGUACAUAUUAUGUGAUUGGGCCGGCACGCAAAGGCAGCGCCUUUAAGGUUUAUUGGUGCUCUGUACUUCUCCCUACGUCCGUGUACCACGGACGUAGGGAGAAGUACAAAGUACAAUUUCAUAAAUUUUACUUUUUGAAACCGAUAAUUUCCGUUAUUACAUUUUAAACCAUUUAUCGGCCGAUAAUAUCGGACUGCCGAUAUUAUCGGACAUCUCUAGUAAAAAUACAUAUUUAUGAAUGAAUUAGACAUCUUUGUUGUAAGCACAUGCCUAAAACAACAAGCUGCAUUUAGAAGUUGAUGGAAAAUUAGAACCAUUAAAUAUGAGUACGCUUUAUUAUCUGACUAAUUGUUAAGAUAACCGAUGACUAAUUGACUAUCAAAAUAAUCAUUAGUUGCAGCACUAUUUGACAAAUACAAAUUAGUGUUGUCCCGAUACCAAAAUUAUUUCGGUACUUUUCUAAAUGAAUGGGACCACAAAAAUUGCAUUAUUGGCUUUAUUUUAACAAAAAAUCUUCGAGGACAUUAAACAUAUGUUUCUUAUUGCAAGUUUGUCCUUAAAUAAAAUAUUGAACAUACAAGACAACUUGUCUUUUAUUAGUAAGUAGGCAAACAAAGUCUCCUAAUUUAGCUGCUGACAUAUGCAGUAACUUAUUGUGUCAUUUUUCAUUCUAUUAUUUUGUCAAAAUUAUUAAGGACAAGUGGUAGAAAAUUAAUUGUUAAUAUACUUGUUCAUUUACUUUUAAUAUCUUCUUACUUUCUCUUUUAAACAUGUUUUAUUUACACUUCUGUUAAAAUGUAAUAAUCACUUAUUCUUCUGUUGUUUGAUACUUUACAUUGGUUUUGGAUGAUACCACACAUUUGGGUAUCAAUCCGAUACCAAGUAGUUACAGGAUCAUACAUUGGUCAUAUUCAAAGCCCUCAUGUGUUCCUAAAUUUAUAAACCUAAUAUAAAUUUAAAAAAAUAUAAUUAAAUAAAUUAAAUUACUGAAUUUUUUUUAAAACGGUACUUUUUAGAGGCGGUAUAGUACCGAAAAUGAUUCAUUAAUAUCGCGGUAUUAGUAUUACUAUACCAACAACCUUAAUCCAAAUGUUUGUAAAUAAUUGAUAUUGAUAAAAACAGGUAGAUUUUUUCUUUUUAUUAUUUUUUAUUCCGUUUUACAACACGUUUCUUCAGUUUGAUUGAAUUUUAUUUUUGUCUCCAGAUCAGAAUUUCAUGAGGGACAGUGCAGAUCAUGUGACGUCGCACGAACAAAAAAGUAAGAGCUGUGUAUUCAUGUGUUAAGGAGCACCGCCACGGCGCUCUAUUUUUACACGUGAGUCUGUUUUGACGUCACCGACCAACAACCACAAUAAGGCAUCCUGCUGCUUCUCUCUGCGCAGUCACAGAUGACAAAUACAUCAUGGCCGCUACGCCACAUUAGACUCAGUGUGUGUGUGUGUGACUGAAGGGCGCCGUGGGAAGCUCUGUGGGUUUGGUGCGACGACUCAGGUGGCCCCAGAUCAUCGUCAUGGCUACAUGUGUUUGACAAGCGUCUUCAUCAUCAUUCUCUGCGUGUGGCGAGCUUCUUCAUCUUUGAGCUCAUUAAGUCACAACAUUACAGGUAAACAGUGACGGGCAGUAACAAACUACAUGGAGCUAAGCUACAUAGCUCAACUACAUUUCCCAGUAGCUUGGCGGUAGCUUCCAUACUUUUUGAACGGGUAACUUUUCCUGAAACUUAGCUAUUUUUAGUCCCAUGGAGCGAGGUAUCUUACAUCAAAGCUACAAGCUACAAAGACAGAAAAUACGAAAAGUGCCAAUUCAGGCCAAAAAAUGAGAAAAUACAAUGACCUGAUGAAUGAGAACAUUUCUACAUACGGGGAAAAUCCAUGAUGAUUGGUUGGAGUUCGUAUGAUGAGUCAAAAUUGGCUAAGGUUAGGGCGAAACAUUACAGACUGGCCGAUCAGAGGCAAGACAAGGCGGGUUAUUGAAACCAGGAAGCAAAAUCAUAACAGACCGCACUCAUGUCACAUGACUACGAGGGAGUCGGAGACAGAGGGACGCUUCAAGCUGACUCAAAAAAAGAAACAUACUUAAAUGAGAUUCGCUCAUGCAGAUUAUAUUUUUCCUUUAGUGAUGAAGAUGAGGUGCAGGAAACCCACAAUAUAGCGUGUCCUUAGCCAUAUAUUUAGACAAUUGUAUGCGUUUAACGUAAACAAUGCCCAAUACAUUACUCUGUAAACCAAAACCAUAACUGCUCUGUUCAUCGAAGACGUCCAACACAAAUUUAAGAACACAGAUUAAAGUGACUUGAUGUCAUGUAAAGAUUUACUGCACAUAACCAUUACCAACUGUACCCAAACAGCUCACAUGUCUUUGUUUUGUUUUUUUGUCAAAAUAUAGAUAGAUGCUGUUUUUAUUUACUGUAGGCAGAGAAAAUGAAUAGCAUAAUAGGUGUGGGCUAAAGAAAAGGCAAACUAAAACAAAUACUUAUAGUGGGGUGCUGAUACCCCUAGAGGUAGUUGUAGGAUGUCCCCAGCUAAAUGACAUAUGGUUGAUAGUAAUGGACCCCUAUUGGGUCCGUUUGUACACUCAGUUACAUUAACAUUGAUAUUUUACAUGUGGGUCCAUAGAUAUAAAUGCUGUUAAAUUGAGUCUGUAGCAUAAUACAUGUCAUACUGGGUUUCAUCUGACCACAUAACUUUCCUCCAGAAGGUCUUAUCUUUGUCCAUGUGAUGUCAGAUGAAACAACAUUUUAGCUGUUUGGCCACAAUACCCAGCCAUGUUUGGAGGAGAAAAAGUGAGGCCUUUAAUCCGAGGAACACUAUGCCUACCGCCAAGCAUGGUGGUGGUAGUAUUAUGCUCUGGGCCUGUUUUGCUGCCAAUGGAACUGGUGCUUUACAGAGAGUAAAUGGGACAAUGAAAAAGGAGGAUUACCUCCAAAUUCUUCAGGACAACCUAAAAUCAUCAGCCCGCACGUUGGGUCUCGGGUGCAGUUGGGUGUUCCAACAGGACAAUGACCCCAAACACACGUCAAAAGUGGUAAAGGAAUGGCUAAAUCAGGCUAGAAUUAAGGUUUUAGAAUGGCCUUCCCAGAGUCCUGACUUAAACCCCAUUGAGAACAUGUGGACAAUGCUGAAGAAACAUGUCCAUUUCAGAAAGCCAACAAAUUUAGCUGAACGGCACCAAUUUUGUCAAGAGGAGUGGUCGAAAAUUCAAGCAGAAGCUUGCCAGAAGCUUGUGGAUGGCUACCAAAAGCGCCUUACUGCAGUGAAACUUGCCAAGGGACAUGUGACCAAAUAUUAACAUUGCUGUAUGUAUACUUUUGACCCAGCAGAUUUGGUCACAUUUUCAGUAGACUCAUAAUAAAUUCAUAAAAUAACCAAACUUCAUGAAUGUUUUUUGUGACCAACAAGUAUGUGC
Long non-coding RNA from Entelurus aequoreus (snake pipefish), 7072 nucleotides. RefSeq lists it as uncharacterized. The record is from RefSeq and is a predicted model, not a curated record. NCBI's taxonomy places the organism in Eukaryota, Metazoa, Chordata, Actinopteri, Syngnathiformes, Syngnathidae. The transcript has 6 exons.